AGGGCUAAUUUAUUCCUUGCCACUCACUCUGAAACUAACUGCAGCUCUUUGUUAAGUGUUGCAGUCAUUUCAGUCGCUGUAGUAGCUGACGUAUAUAGUGUUGAGUCAUCCGCAUACAUAGACACACUCAAAGCAAUUGGCAUGUCGUUAGUAAAGAUUGGAAAGCGUAAGAACAUUCUAGAACACCCUCUGUGUUCUGUUAGACAGGUAACUCUUUAUCCACAUUAUAGCAGAGGGUGUAAAGCCAUAACACAUAUGUUUUUCCAGCAGUAGACUAUGAUCGAUAAUGUCAAAAGCCACACUGAAGUCUAACGAAACAGCCCCCCCCAACAAUCUUUUUAUCAUCAAUUUCUCUCAGCCAAUCAUUUGUGUAAGUGCUGUGCUUGUUGAAUGUCCUUCCCUAUAAGCGUGCUGAAAGUCUGUUGUCAAUUUCUUUACUGUAAAAUACCAUUGUAGAAGGUCAAACACAAAUUUUUUCAAAACUUUACUAAGGGUUGGUAACAGGCUGAUUGGUCGGCUAUUUCAGCCAGUAAAGGGGGCUUUACUAUUCUUGGGUAGUGGAAUUACUUUUGCCUCCCUCCAGGCCUGAGGGCACACACUUUCUAGUAGGCUUAGAUUGAAGAUAUAGCAAAUAGGAGUGUCAAUAUCGUCUGCUAUCAUCCUCAGUCAUUUUCCAUCCAAGUUGUCAGACCCCAGUGGCUUGCCAUUGUUUUUACAUUACAUUUACAUUUACGUCAUUUAGCAGACGCUCUUAUCCAGAGCAACUUACAAAUUGGUGCAUUCACCUUAUGAUAUCCAGUGGAACAACCACUUUACAAUAGUACAUCUAUAUCUUUUUAGGGGGGGGGGGGGGUUAGAAGGAUUACUGUAUCCUAUCCCAGGUAUUCCUUAAAGAGGUGGGGUUUCAGGUGUCUCCGGAAGGUGGUGAUUGACUCCGCUGUCCUGGCGUCGUGAGGGAGCUUGUUCCACCAUUGGGGUGCCAGAGCAGCGAACAGUUUUGACUGGGCUGAGCGGGAACUGUGCUUCCUCAGAGGUAGGGAGGCGAGCAGGCCAGAGGUGGAUGAAUGCAGUGCCCUUGUUUGGGUGUAGGGCCUGAUCAGAGCCUGAAGGUACGGAGGUGCCGUUCCCCUCACAGCUCUGUAGGCAAGCACCAUGGUCUUGUAGCAGAUGCGAGCUUCAACUGGAAGUCAGUGGAGUGUGCGGAGGAGCGGGGUGACGUGAGAGAACUUGGGAAGGUUGAACAUCAGACGGGCUGCGGCGUUCUGGAUGAGUUGUAGGGGUUUAAUGGCACAGGCAGGGAGCCCCGCCAACAGCGGUAGACAACAACAAUAGACAACAAUUAUUUUUUCACCUCUUCCACACUCACUUUACGGAAUUCAAAAUUACAAUUCUUGUCUUUAAUAAUUUGGUCAGAUAUACUUGGAUGUGUAGUGUCAGCGUUUGUUGCUGGCAUGUCAUGCCUAAGUUUGCUGAUCUUGCCAAUGAAAAAAAUCAUUAAAGUAGUUUACAAUAUCAGUGGGUUUUGUGAUGAAUGAGCCAUCUGAUUCAGUGAAUGAUGGAGCUGAGCUUGCAGUUUUUCCUAACAUUUCAUUGAAGGUGCUCCAAAGCUUUUUACUAUCAUUCUUUAUGUCAUUUAUCUUUGUUUCAUAGUGUAGUUUAUUUUUCUUUUUAUUCAGUUUAGUCACAUGAUUUCUCAAUUUGCAGUACAUUUCCCAAUCAGUUGGGCAGCCAGACUUAUUUGCCAUUCCUUUUACCUCAUCCCUCUCAACCAUACAAUUUUUCAAUUCCUCAUCAAUCCACUGUGAUUUAACAGUUUUGACAGUCCUUGUCUUAACUGAGUGCAUGCUUAUUAGUAACUGCAAGUGUCAAGUGCAGCGUCUGGUUGCUCCUCAUUACACACCACUGACCAGCAAAUAUUAUUUACAUCAAUAACAUAGGAUUCACUACAAAACUUAUUGUAUGACCUCUUAUACACUAUAUUAGGCCCAGACUUUGAAACUUUGGUUUUCCUAGAUAGCAGAAGUAGAUAUUCUCAUGGCUUGGGGGUAGAAGCUGUUUAGAAGGCUUUUGGACCUAGACUUGGCGCUCCGGUACCGCUUGCCGUGCGGUAGCAGAGAGAACAGUCUAUGACUAGGGUGGCUGGAGUUCUUUGAACGUUACUAAUGUUUUCUUGUGUUUUUUCUGGAAAGAUUUCUUAAUGUUAUGAGAAUAUGACUUUAAAUAGAACCAUGGACUAACCUGCAGAAAACAUUAUGCUGAAAGACUGAAAUUUCCACAGAAUAAAGUUGUUUCUUAACGUUCUCUGAAUAAUUUGAGAACAUUACUUUAAAGCUGUAAUGUGUAACUUUUUUGGGUGACCCGACCAGAUUCACAUAGAAAUAUGAGGUGUCCUGUGCUGUAGGGUCUUUCAACUUGAACCUAGUUGGUAGCCUGUCUGCAACACACGAUACCAAUCUAUACAAGCCAGGAAUGUGCCGGAAUUAGAACACACACACACAGAAUCACAGCCCAGGAAACACACACACACUUCUACGCCGGCAGACAGGCACCAACCAACAUUUCCGUUCACCUAGUAGGAGUCAAUAGUGGUACACACACUCUAAUGCCGCGUUCAAGUCCCUUCGGAAACUUGGACAUUUCCGACUUGCUUUCUCGUUGUAGAAAGAUGAUACCCUGAGUUUCCCACUUGGGAAGUAUCAGAAUGAACCAAUAGCAAGCUUUACACAAAUAACUUAUGUUAAUUUUAACUCGCAGGUCCCCGAGUUUUACCGACAUGACGUGAACGCGGCAAAACACACAUACACGCUGUCCAACACACACACACACACACACACACACACACACACACACACACACACACACACACACACACACACACACACACACACACACACACACACACACACACACACACACACACACACACACACACACACACACACACACACACACACACACACACACACACACACACACACACACACACACACACACACACACACACACACACACACACACACACACAGACACACACACACACACACACACACACACACACACACACACACACAGACGUUGUCCUAUAAUUAUUCUCCCUGUGAUGCUCUGUAAAGACGUAAACUGUGUUCGCUGGUUUGGAACUCCUCUGAUCUCUGCUAUAGUAGUACCACAGGUCAUCUCCCCUGCCCUGAGCCACACACGGCUAGCCUCAAUACCAAACAUCCUGAUCUGUGUUUCGCAACACGGACAGAAUGUAAGCUUGAGAGAUCUGGAUGGUUCGUAUGAGCCUAACACAUGGCCAUAACUACUCAGAAAUGGGUCAAAGUGGAAAGGAUUUCGCAACACGGACAGAAUGUAAGCUUGAGAGAUCUGGAUGGUUCGUAUGAGCCUAACACAUGGCCAUAACUACUCAGAAAUGGGUCAAAGUGGAAAGGAUUUCGCAACACGGACAGAAUGUAAGCUUGAGAGAUCUGGA
Molecule: long non-coding RNA, 3475 nt
Filed under: Salmo salar (Atlantic salmon)
Lineage: Eukaryota; Metazoa; Chordata; Actinopteri; Salmoniformes; Salmonidae
Description: lncRNA (ENSSSAG00000089070.1)
Source: RNAcentral